AGUAAUACAUCGGAACAUACCCUAGGGUGGGGGAUAACGUAGCGAAAGUUACGCUAAUACCGCAUACGCACUAAGGUGGAAAGCAGGGGAUCGCAAGACCUUGCGCUCAUGGAGUGGCCGAUGUCAGAUUAGCUUGUUGGCGGGGUAAAAGCCCACCAAGGCGACGAUCUGUAGCUGGUCUGAGAGGACGACCAGCCACACUGGGACUGAGACACGGCCCAG
Molecule: ribosomal RNA, 222 nt
Filed under: uncultured bacterium
Lineage: Bacteria
Description: partial 16S ribosomal RNA
Rfam family: Bacterial small subunit ribosomal RNA
Source: RNAcentral